GCUGUCUGGGGAACCGUAGAGAUAGAAAAGGUUAGCAUAGGAGGAAUCCACGGGCAAAUCCGCCCUCUCGUGCCUUUUGCCACUCGAGUGAGGCACAUUGAUAAGAAUCGCGCCAAAGCCCUGCGUUCUCCCCAUUGGUCGGCAUUUGGAGCGCGGUGGCUGAGGUCGCCGCGGAGGAGUCCAGUUGAGGGUUUUAACUACCUUGGCUGAGUUUGGAAACAGAAACGUUUUCUCAAAGCUUGAGCCAAACUGAAUCUACUGAAAGCUGUUCCGACCUCCUCCAAAAUGAAGGGAGCCCGAAGAAAGCGCGCGUCUUCUCUACUAAAUUUUGCUCGCUUGUGUAGUAAAAUAAGAUCAACAGUUACCUUUGGUAAAAUAAAGUUCCACAAAGGAAUCUUUCAAAACUUUAGUCAGACUGAACAUGUAAAGUGGGGUUUUUCCCAGAGAUGAUACUUUCUUCAGGAGGAGAAGCAGCCAUGAGUCAUGAAAUGGAUCAGA
Molecule: non-coding RNA, 498 nt
Organism: Pseudonaja textilis
Lineage: Eukaryota; Metazoa; Chordata; Lepidosauria; Squamata; Elapidae
Source: RefSeq, a predicted model, not a curated record